UACAGAGGGUGCAAACGUUGCUCGGAAUUAUUGGGCGUAAAGCGCGUGUAGGCGGCUUGUUAAGUCGGUUGUGAAAACCCAUGGCUCAACCCAUGGAAGUGCGUCCGAAACUGGCAAGCUAGAGUCUUGACGAGGGUGGCGGAAUUCCCAGUGUAGAGGUGAAAUGCGCAGAUAUCAGGAGGAACACCGAUGGCGAAGGCAGGUCUCUGGGGCAUUAACUGACGCUGAGGAGCGAAAGCGUGGGGAGCGAACAGG
Molecule: ribosomal RNA, 255 nt
Filed under: uncultured bacterium
Lineage: Bacteria
Description: partial 16S ribosomal RNA
Rfam family: Bacterial small subunit ribosomal RNA
Source: RNAcentral